AUUCGACUUAGAACUGGUACAAUUAUGAGUUUCUUAAGGUAGCCAAAUGCCUUGUCAUCUAAUUAGUGAUGUGCAUGAAUGGAU
Molecule: non-coding RNA, 84 nt
Filed under: Nelumbo nucifera (sacred lotus)
Lineage: Eukaryota; Viridiplantae; Streptophyta; Magnoliopsida; Proteales; Nelumbonaceae
Description: Eukaryotic large subunit ribosomal RNA
Rfam family: Eukaryotic large subunit ribosomal RNA
Source: Rfam by way of RNAcentral